UGCGCAGACGGCUGAGCAAGUUGGACGUGAAAGCCUGGGGCUCAACCCCAGAAUUGCGUUCAAAAACUACUCGGCUCGAGUAUGAGAGAGGGGAAGUGGAAUUCCUGGUGUAGAGGUGAAAUUCGUAGAUAUCAGGAGGAACACCAGCGGCGAAGGCCGGCUUCCUGGCUCAUUACUGACGUUCAGGCACGAAAGCGUGGGGAGCAAACA
This 210-nucleotide ribosomal RNA is filed under the name uncultured bacterium. Its description in RNAcentral is "partial 16S ribosomal RNA". It matches the Rfam family "Bacterial small subunit ribosomal RNA", at positions 568 to 774 of the family's 1533-position model. The record is from RNAcentral.